GGAGAGUGAAGGGUGCCUGGUGGCCCUCGCGAUCUUCAAAAUCGCCGUCGAUCCUCAUCGAUCGAGGUAGGUUCGAUUCCUAUCCUCUCCG
Molecule: transfer RNA, 91 nt
Filed under: Verrucomicrobiota bacterium
Lineage: Bacteria; Pseudomonadati; Verrucomicrobiota
Description: tRNA-Sec
Rfam family: Selenocysteine transfer RNA
Source: RNAcentral